CGUGGGACUCGGGACGGUCGGUCUCCUGCUGCUGGGUCGCUCGCAACUCCUCGCCCCCUCGCGGACCGCGCCGCCGCACGCCGGUGAAAUCGAACUGCUCCUAGCGGCAAGGUGCUGUCAGAACUCUAGAACUCGUCAACAAAACUCCAGAGAGU
Long non-coding RNA from Schistocerca americana (American grasshopper), 155 nucleotides. RefSeq lists it as uncharacterized. Lineage: Eukaryota; Metazoa; Arthropoda; Insecta; Orthoptera; Acrididae. The record is from RefSeq and is a predicted model, not a curated record. The transcript is spliced from 3 exons.